This is a long non-coding RNA of Raphanus sativus (radish), 629 nucleotides long. RefSeq lists it as uncharacterized. The transcript has 3 exons. The record is from RefSeq and is a predicted model, not a curated record. Lineage: Eukaryota; Viridiplantae; Streptophyta; Magnoliopsida; Brassicales; Brassicaceae.
GGACACUCUACAUCACUUUCAUCACUAUCAUCCUUCUCUACGGAGUUGCGAGCCACAUUACCCCCCGCCUCACUUUAUGAAGAAUCUUUAUCCUUCAAACACUAAUUAAAUGGAGGCACAAAAACUGAUUAACUGAGAUAGCAAAAGUUGUCUUAGACAGAACAGAUAACAGUGAAGAACAGGUUCACAACACUAUCCAAGAAAAGACUUAAGUAUGAAGCUAUGGCUAAGGAGAUGGGAUUACUUCUGUGUAAACUCAAACAACAAAAUAAUUGUUUUCCCAUAUGGUAUUCGUACACCAAGAAAAUCUGAGAGUGAAUCCCCUCUUGCUAUGAAAACGAGGUGAGAAACCUGUUUUGUUUUCUCUUUAACGUGAAUUGACAUGCUUUGGUCAUGCUCUUUAUUUGAGGAGAAGUCACAUUCCAGAUUAUAAAGAGAUCAGUAGCUAUGGGUAUAGCUUACAUCUAAAGAUAGGUGUCAAACAGCAGGCAUGACCUCCACUUUCAGUACUUUCUCACAAUGCCACAAGUAUUGAUAGCACGAAGGAGCAUAAUCAAACAGACAGUACAAAAGAAAAUGAUUGUAAACAACUAUGGUAAAAACUUUUGUUUUUGUUGCUUAUCCCUUAA